GACGAACGCUGGCGGCGUGCUUAACACAUGCAAGUCGAACGGAAAGGCCCUGCUUUUGUGGGGUGCUCGAGUGGCGAACGGGUGAGUAACACGUGAGUAACCUGCCCUUGACUUUGGGAUAACUUCAGGAAACUGGGGCUAAUACCGGAUAGGAGCUCCUGCUGCAUGGUGGGGGUUGGAAAGUUUCGGCGGUUGGGGACGGACUCGCGGCUUAUCAGCUUGUUGGUGGGGUAGUGGCUUACCAAGGCUUUGACGGGUAGCCGGCCUGGGAGGGUGACCGGCUCCAUGGGGCUUAGGUAACGGCCCAGAUUCGAACGGGAGGAAGCGGUGGGAAUUUUGGCACAUGGGGCGGAGGCCUGAUGCAGAACCGCCGGGUGGGGAAUAACGGCCUUCGGGUGGUAACCCGUUUUCGCCUGUAACGAGGCGUGGUUGACGUAAUGGGUAAAGAAGCACCGGCUAACUACGUG
RNAcentral lists this ribosomal RNA (467 nucleotides) under uncultured bacterium. RNAcentral describes it as "partial 16S ribosomal RNA". It matches the Rfam family "Bacterial small subunit ribosomal RNA", at positions 28 to 507 of the family's 1533-position model. The record is from RNAcentral.